This 422-nucleotide ribosomal RNA is filed under the name uncultured bacterium. Its description in RNAcentral is "bacterial SSU rRNA". It matches the Rfam family "Bacterial small subunit ribosomal RNA", at positions 355 to 774 of the family's 1533-position model. The record is from RNAcentral.
UGAGGAAUAUUGGGCAAUGCCCGAAAGGGUGACCCAGCAACGCCGCGUGGAGGAUGAAGGUCGUAAGAUUGUAAACUCCUGUUAGAGGGGAAGAAUAACUAAGUUUGGAGCUUAGUAUGACUGUACCCUCAGAGAAAGCCCCGGCUAACUACGUGCCAGCAGCUGCGGUAAUACGUAGGGGGCAAGCGUUGUCCGGAUUUACUGGGUGUAAAGGGCGCGCAGGCGGAAUGGAAAGUCAGUGGUGAAAUCCUACAGCUUAACUGUAGAACUGCCUUUGAUACUUUUAUUCUUGAGUUCGGGAGAGAGAGACUGAAUUCCAGGUGUAGUGGUGAAAUACGUAGAUAUCUGGAAGAACACCAGUUGCGAAGGCGGUCUCUUGGUCCGACACUGACGCUGAGGCGCGAAAGCGUGGGGAGCAAACA